RNAcentral lists this ribosomal RNA (642 nucleotides) under uncultured bacterium. RNAcentral's name for it is "bacterial SSU rRNA". It matches the Rfam family "Bacterial small subunit ribosomal RNA", at positions 144 to 803 of the family's 1533-position model. The record is from RNAcentral.
UAACAGUUGGAAACGACUGCUAAUACCGCAUAAGCGCACAGGAUCGCAUGAUCCGGUGUGAAAAACUCCGGUGGUAUGAGAUGGACCCGCGUCUGAUUAGCCAGUUGGCAGGGUAACGGCCUACCAAAGCGACGAUCAGUAGCCGACCUGAGAGGGUGUCCGGCCACAUUGGGACUGAGACACGGCCCAAACUCCUACGGGAGGCAGCAGUGGGGAAUAUUGCACAAUGGGGGAAACCCUGAUGCAGCGACGCCGCGUGAGCGAAGAAGUAUUUCGGUAUGUAAAGCUCUAUCAGCAGGGAAGAAGAAUGACGGUACCUGACUAAGAAGCACCGGCUAAAUACGUGCCAGCAGCCGCGGUAAUACGUAUGGUGCAAGCGUUAUCCGGAUUUACUGGGUGUAAAGGGAGCGCAGGCGGUGCGGCAAGUCUGAUGUGAAAGCCCGGGGCUCAACCCCGGUACUGCAUUGGAAACUGUCGUACUAGAGUGUCGGAGGGGUAAGUGGAAUUCCUAGUGUAGCGGUGAAAUGCGUAGAUAUUAGGAGGAACACCAGUGGCGAAGGCGGCUUACUGGACGAUAACUGACGCUGAGGCUCGAAAGCGUGGGGAGCAAACAGGAUUAGAUACCCUGGUAGUCCACGCCGU